CACACCGCCCGUCACACCAUGGGAGUUGGUUGCUCCAGAAGCAGGUAGUCUAACCGCAAGGGGGACGCUUGCCACGGAGUGGUCAAUGACUGGGGUGAAGUCGUAAACAAGGUACC
Molecule: ribosomal RNA, 116 nt
Filed under: uncultured bacterium
Lineage: Bacteria
Description: partial 16S ribosomal RNA
Rfam family: Bacterial small subunit ribosomal RNA
Source: RNAcentral